RNAcentral lists this unclassified non-coding RNA (1331 nucleotides) under Hevea brasiliensis (rubber tree). Lineage: Eukaryota; Viridiplantae; Streptophyta; Magnoliopsida; Malpighiales; Euphorbiaceae. The record is from RNAcentral.
UGCGUCUGUCACAUCUUUGUUCUGCCAUAAAUGAAGAUUCAAAGAACAAACUGAUUACAUCUUAAAUCAAGAGAAAUGACCAAUUAUAAGCAACGGGGAAAAACUAAAGAAUUUGGUUGGCUUUUUUUUUUUUUUUGGGGUUUAGUUUGGGGGGAGGAGGAGGGAGGGCAGGCGGGGGAGAAUCAAGUUUCAGAGAAAAUCUUCCCAAAUAAAAUAUUAACCAUGUGAACCCCUUCCAUAAGCUCCUACAAUCUGAUAAAAUUAAAAAGCCUCUAAAUCCUCCACAACUAAUCUUCCACAGCAAACUCUCUCCUAAUGCCACAUGGGAGGGCACAACAUUGUAGCAAUCAGCAAAUCAGUCCACUUUUUCAUGAUUUUGUGCACACAAUGUAUGCUGACCUAGUCCACUACCUAUGUUAAAAGGAAUCAUCACACCUCCCUGUAAUCAUGAAAAUGGCUAUUUGGGUAUAAUCCCCAAAAAUAUGCAGAAACUACGUACAACAUAUCAAGAAUAUUUAAAAUUGGAAGUAGAUUUGUGUCCGGCACUUCCACACAUGCACAAACAACGUAGCAUAUGUACAAGGUUCAAACAUGAUAAAGAACCGAGUUCUAGUUUUAAAGCAACAAAACUUGUGUCACACAACAAAAAUUCAACCAAAAAUGCAGUAUAUAAAAUACAUAUUUACCAUAUAGUUGAGUAGCAAUCUAUACUCUUAUGAUUAUAAAUGCACAGAUUGCUACUCAAUUGCAUUACAAGUACACUUGUAAUUGUAAAUAAACAACUUGCUCAAAAAGGUAUUUGGGCCAGAGUUGAUUGAACACACACCAACAGUAAAUAGAUUGGUGUCAAGUAACAACCACAGCCAUUUAUGAUAUAGGCAACAGGGAAAGGAGGAAAUCAAUAUUGCACUGAUCACCUCGGCAAAGUUGCCUUUCUACUAGUACACAAAAGCCCCAUACUAAUUUCCCUCAAGCUAGGCCCUAAGGAGACAUUUUCAACUCAAUCAUAAAUUAAUUGAUAGUGAAGUUACUUUUUGCCUUCCUAACCAAAACCUAAGAAUAAUCCAACCCUGUCAUUUACCAAAACAUAGAAACAAUGAAAAGAAGAGUUGGCACGUUGCCCUAUCACAGUAACUAUGACAAAAAGCCUCACAUGAAAUUUGGCUUUAAAAAGUAAUCAUUAUUUAGGGAAAUUAUAACUUGCCAAGAAUCUACAGUAAUUCUAAAAGCUUUUAAAAAUGAGCAGCAAUUACAAUUAAAAAGUGAAAACAACUAAUUACUGUUCUUGGGGCAACCAAACCGAACCGAAGAACCAUACCGAACUGAAUUUA